GACGAACGCUGGCGGCGCGCCUAACACAUGCAAGUCGAACGGAGUCAAGAGGAGCUUGCUUUUCUUGACUUAGUGGCGAACGGGUGAGUAACGCGUGGGUAACCUGCCCUGGAGUGGGGGACAACAGUUGGAAACGACUGCUAAUACCGCAUAAGCCCACGGAUCCGCAUGGAUCUGCGGGAAAAGGAUUUAUUCGCUUCAGGAUGGACUCGCGUCCAAUUAGCUAGUUGGUGAGGUAACGGCCCACCAAGGCGACGAUUGGUAGCCGGACUGAGAGGUUGAACGGCCACAUUGGGACUGAGACACGGCCCAGACUCCUACGGGAGGCAGCAGUGGGGGAUAUUGCACAAUGGGGGAAACCCUGAUGCAGCGACGCCGCGUGGAGGAAGAAGGUUUUCGGAUUGUAAACUCCUGUCGUUAGGGACGAUAAUGACGGUACCUAACAAGAAAGCACCGGCUAACUACGUG
This 468-nucleotide ribosomal RNA is filed under the name uncultured bacterium. RNAcentral describes it as "partial 16S ribosomal RNA". It matches the Rfam family "Bacterial small subunit ribosomal RNA", at positions 28 to 507 of the family's 1533-position model. The record is from RNAcentral.